GCCAUCAUGGCUCAGUGGUUGAGCAUGGACCUGUGAACCUGGAGGUCAUGGUUCAAUUCCCUGUCAUGGCA
This is a non-coding RNA of Myotis brandtii (Brandt's bat), 71 nucleotides long. The record is from Rfam. NCBI's taxonomy places the organism in Eukaryota, Metazoa, Chordata, Mammalia, Chiroptera, Vespertilionidae.